UAAAGGUUUGGUCCUGGCCUUUUCAUUAGUUGUUAAUAAGCUUAUACAUGCAAGCAUCCCCAUCCCGGUGAAAAUGCCUUUUAACAUUUCAAAAGAAAUUAAAAGAGCCGGUAUCAAGCACACUUCCACAGUAGCUAAUAACACCUUGCUUAGCCACACCCCCACGGGAAACAGCAGUAAUAAAAAUUAAACAAUGAACGAAAGUUUGAUUUAGCUAUAUUAUAUAAGGGUGGUAAACAUCGUGCCAGCCACCGCGGUCAUACGAUGGCCCUAAACUAAUAAACACCGGCGUAAAGGGUGCUAAGAUAACCUACCAAAUAAGAAUAACACUGAUUUAAGUCGUAAAAAACUAAAAAUCAAUACAAACCCAGCCGUGAAAAUGUUCUUAGUAUUAUCUAAUCACUAAAGCUAGGGUACAAACUGGGAUUAGAUACCCCACUAUGCCUAGCCAUAAACACAAGUAGUUUUCAACAAAACUACUCGCCAGAGAACUACAAGCCACCGCUUAAAACUCAAAGGACUUGGCGGUACUUCACACCCUUCUAGAGGAGCCUGUUCUAUAAUCGAUAAACCCCGAUAAACCUUACCGCCCUUAGCUAAUCCAGUCUAUAUACCGCCAUCUUCAGCAAACCUUAUUAAAGCAUAAAAGUACGCGCAAUUAUCCACCCAUAAAAAAGUUAGGUCAAGGUGUAACCCAUAGAGCGGACAGUAAUGGGCUACAUUUUCUACCAUUAGACCACACGAAAACCUGUGUGAAACUCACCAGUUAAAGGAGGAUUUAGUAGUAAACCAGGACUAGAGAGCCUGGUUGAAAUAGGCUAUGAAGUAUGCACACACCGCCCGUCACCCUCCUCAAAUAUACAGUUUUAACCAGUUCAUAUACCCCACAAAAACAUACUCAGAGGAGAUAAGUCGUAACAAGGUAAGUGUACCGGAAGGUGCGCUUGGCAUAC
This 953-nucleotide non-coding RNA is filed under the name Laonastes aenigmamus (Laotian rock rat). Its description in RNAcentral is "12S ribosomal RNA". It matches the Rfam family "Bacterial small subunit ribosomal RNA". The record is from RNAcentral. Lineage: Eukaryota; Metazoa; Chordata; Mammalia; Rodentia; Laonastidae.